Apis dorsata (giant honeybee) is the source of this 519-nucleotide long non-coding RNA. RefSeq lists it as uncharacterized. The record is from RefSeq and is a predicted model, not a curated record. The transcript is spliced from 2 exons. Lineage: Eukaryota; Metazoa; Arthropoda; Insecta; Hymenoptera; Apidae.
UGAAUCGAGGCAUCCGUACGAUGAAAUCCGUAACCGAUCCAUAGCCGAUUUCGCGGACGAUAAACGAAUCGAUGUCUCGUUUUCUUCAUCGAGUCGUGGCAAAAUAAAAAAAAAAAAAAAAAAAAAAAAAAAAGAGAAGAAAACGUUCGCGGGAACGAGUGGAUCGACGACGACGAGCGGAUCGGCUCCUGGGUCUAGAGAACGCGUUCGCAAAAUCGUCGCGACGUAUACAACUUUUUUCUUUUUUUUUUUUUCUUUUUUUAAUAACCGUAAAUUUUAAUUUUAACGACAAUCAUAAUUUUUACGCACGUUUUACAAUCAUCCGUACGAUAAAUAUUCAUUUUUCACAUCUAACGAUAAAUCUUUCGAUAAAGGGGAUAUAUCGGGAGAUAGUACUCUUUUGUUACCCAGAGUGAACUGGAUUUUGCAGGGGGUUGGAAACGGUGAAGAGGAUUCGAUUAAAGUAUGGGUAAGGGUUAGGAGGGAGCAGGUGGGACAGAAGUAAAGUUGGGGGCAAGG